AUUCCAGCUCCAAUAGCGUAUAUUAAAGUUGUUGCGGUAAAAAAGCUCGUAGUUGGAUUUCUGUUGAAGACGUCCGGUCCAUACCACGUAUGCGCAUCUGGCUCGGCUUCGGCAUCCUCUCGAAAGACGUUUCUGCGCUUGAUUGCGUGGAGCGGAUCUCGGGACUUUUACUUUGAGGAAAUUAGAGUGUUCACGGCAGGCUAUCGCCAGAAUACAUUAGCAUGGAAUAAUACUAUAGGAUCUCGGUUCUAUUUUGUUGGUUUCUAGAAUUGAGAUAAUGAUUAAUAGGGACAAUUGGGGGCAUUCGUAUCAACACGUUAGAGGUGAAAUUCUUGGAUCGUGUUGCGACGAACUACUGCGAAAGCAUUUGCCAAGGAUGUUUUCAUUGAUCAAGAACGAAAGUAAGGGGAUCGAAGACGAUUAGAUACCGUCGUAGUCUUUACCAUAAACUAUGCCAACUAGAGAUGGGACAUCGUUCACUUAAGACUUGUUCCGCACCUUAUGAGAUAUCAAAGUCUUUGGGUUCCGGGGGGAGUAUGGUCGCAAGUCUGAAACUUAAAGGAAUUGACGGAAGGGCACCACCAGGAGUGGAGCCUGCGGCUUAAUUUGACUCAACACGGGGAAACUCACCAGGUCCAGACAUAAUAAGGAUUGACAGAUUGAUAGCUCUUUCUUGAUUUUAUGGGUGGUGGUGCAUGGCCGUUCUUAGUUCGUGGAGUGAUUUGUCUGCUUAAUUGCGUUAACGAACGAGACCUUAACCUGCUAAAUAGGAGCGCCUAUCUCCGGAUAAGCGCCUUUCUUCUUAGAGGGACUUUAUGCGUUUCAGCAUGAGGAAGUUUGAGGCUAAA
RNAcentral lists this ribosomal RNA (848 nucleotides) under uncultured eukaryote. Its description in RNAcentral is "SSU rRNA". It matches the Rfam family "Eukaryotic small subunit ribosomal RNA", at positions 582 to 1455 of the family's 1831-position model. The record is from RNAcentral.